RNAcentral lists this ribosomal RNA (253 nucleotides) under uncultured bacterium. RNAcentral's name for it is "partial 16S ribosomal RNA". It matches the Rfam family "Bacterial small subunit ribosomal RNA", at positions 524 to 776 of the family's 1533-position model. The record is from RNAcentral.
UACGUAGGGUGCAAGCGUUGUUCGGAAUUACUGGGCGUAAAGAGCGUGUAGGCGGCUGAUCAAGUCGGGUGUGAAAGCCCGGGGCUUACCCCCGGAAGUGCGCUCGAAACUGGUCAGCUAGAGUAUGGGAGAGGGAAGUGGAAUUCCUGGUGUAGCGGUGAAAUGCGUAGAUAUCAGGAGGAACACCGGCGGCGAAGGCGGCUUCCUGGACCAAUACUGACGCUGAGACGCGAAAGCGUGGGGAGCAAACAGG